GCCGCCUUAGCUCAGUUGGUAGAGCAACUGAUUUGUAAUCAGUAGGUCGUUGGUUCGAAUCCGAUAGGCGGCU
This 73-nucleotide transfer RNA is filed under the name Bacteroidota bacterium. RNAcentral's name for it is "Bacteroidetes bacterium (hot springs metagenome) tRNA-Thr". It matches the Rfam family "tRNA". Rfam says of the family: Transfer RNA (tRNA) molecules are approximately 80 nucleotides in length. Their secondary structure includes four short double-helical elements and three loops (D, anti-codon, and T loops). Further hydrogen bonds mediate the characteristic L-shaped molecular structure. tRNAs have two regions of fundamental functional importance: the anti-codon, which is responsible for specific mRNA codon recognition, and the 3' end, to which the tRNAs corresponding amino acid is attached (by aminoacyl-tRNA synthetases). tRNAs cope with the degeneracy of the genetic code in two manners: having more than one tRNA (with a specific anti-codon) for a particular amino acid; and 'wobble' base-pairing, i.e. permitting non-standard base-pairing at the 3rd anti-codon position. Lineage: Bacteria; Pseudomonadati; Bacteroidota. The record is from RNAcentral. RNAcentral also lists the same sequence under 1 other name.